CCGCGGGGGGCGCCGGGGGGG
RNAcentral lists this microRNA (21 nucleotides) under Gallus gallus (chicken). RNAcentral describes it as "microRNA Ros-gga". The record is from RNAcentral. Lineage: Eukaryota; Metazoa; Chordata; Aves; Galliformes; Phasianidae.